Molecule: ribosomal RNA, 298 nt
Filed under: Orthetrum sp. JLW-2007a
Lineage: Eukaryota; Metazoa; Arthropoda; Insecta; Odonata; Libellulidae
Description: partial 28S ribosomal RNA
Source: RNAcentral
CCCGCGAUGAAGGGAUGGGGUUUUCGCGGCCGUGGGGCGACCCACGGUCCGCGAGGGCGACCCACGGUCCGGAGGCUGCCACCCCGCGGGCGCGGUCUUUCCCGGCGUCGGAGUGACGCACUUCUCCCCCGGUAGAACGUCNCGAUCCGWCGGUCGACGGCCUAAGGCCCCUGGUGGAGCCUGUUUCNCCRCGCAUGACCCANGGGAUCCCGGCNGGGUGCCCGACGGUAUGAAGAGAGGAAGGAGUCGGCGCGCCCCCUUCGGGCGUCCAGCCCUCCGCAAGCGCUCGCGGGAGUCG